Megalobrama amblycephala (Wuchang bream) is the source of this 502-nucleotide long non-coding RNA. RefSeq lists it as uncharacterized. Lineage: Eukaryota; Metazoa; Chordata; Actinopteri; Cypriniformes; Xenocyprididae. The record is from RefSeq and is a predicted model, not a curated record. The transcript has 3 exons.
UAUUCUGAAACAUUGAACUUCCUGUCCGUCAUUUUGACUGUACGCGUUGUUCUUUUUCGUUGUUGGACAUCCCUGCGCUAGCUUGAAAAAUCCUAUUUAACGACGUUUUUCGGUGUUUUCCGACUUCUUCAGCAAAUAAACAACGAAUAUUUAAUUUAAUAAACAUGGACCAAAUGGAAGACCCCGCUGGAUCGGAUAAUAAACGAGCUAUAGAGCGGAAAAGGAGUUGAGGAUGCCAAACGAGGACUUCAGAGAGGACAAGCUUUCAACAUCAGCAUCGUCCAUCACUUUGUCCCUCCCCUCAUACCCUAAACAUCACGUACAGGAGCUGGUUUAGCCAGAGUCCUCACCCCUAAUACUGAGUCUAGCAGUCUCAUCACAAGCAUUACGAUGGGUGGUAAUGAAGGCGGUGGACGGGGAGGAGAGCGAUGGAGCCUCUUUGGGGUGCGGCCCAUUGUGCAGAAAUCCCCCACUGACCCAGGAUCAGAAACCAACACACCUG